Molecule: ribosomal RNA, 1534 nt
Filed under: Streptococcus pneumoniae
Lineage: Bacteria; Bacillati; Bacillota; Bacilli; Lactobacillales; Streptococcaceae
Description: bacterial SSU rRNA
Rfam family: Bacterial small subunit ribosomal RNA
Source: RNAcentral
AGAGUUUGAUCCUGGCUCAGGACGAACGUUGGCGGCGUGCCUAAUACCUGCAAGUAGAACGCUGAAGGAGGAGCUUGCUUCUCUGGAUGAGUUGCGAACGGGUGAGUAACGCGUAGGUAACCUGCCUGGUAGCGGGGGAUAACUAUUGGAAACGAUAGCUAAUACCGCAUAAGAGUGGAUGUUGCAUGACAUUUGCUUAAAAGGUGCACUUGCAUCACUACCAGAUGGACCUGCGUUGUAUUAGCUAGUUGGUGGGGUAACGGCUCACCAAGGCGACGAUACAUAGCCGACCUGAGAGGGUGAUCGGCCACACUGGGACUGAGACACGGCCCAGACUCCUACGGGAGGCAGCAGUAGGGAAUCUUCGGCAAUGGACGGAAGUCUGACCGAGCAACGCCGCGUGAGUGAAGAAGGUUUUCGGAUCGUAAAGCUCUGUUGUAAGAGAAGAAUGAGUGUGAGAGUGGAAAGUUCACACUGUGACGGUAUCUUACCAGAAAGGGACGGCUAACUACGUGCCAGCAGCCGCGGUAAUACGUAGGUCCCGAGCGUUGUCCGGAUUUAUUGGGCGUAAAGCGAGCGCAGGCGGUUAGAUAAGUCUGAAGUUAAAGGCUGUGGCUUAACCAUAGUAGGCUUUGGAACCUGUUUAACUUGAGUGCAAGAGGGGAGAGUGGAAUUCCAUGUGUAGCGGUGAAAUGCGUAGAUAUAUGGAGGAACACCGGUGGCGAAAGCGGCUCUCUGGCUUGUAACUGACGCUGAGGCUCGAAAGCGUGGGGGGCAAACAGGAUUAGAUACCCUGGUAGUCCACGCUGUAAACGAUGAGUGCUAGGUGUUAGACCCUUUCCGGGGUUUAGUGCCGUAGCUAACGCAUUAAGCACUCCGCCUGGGGAGUACGACCGCAAGGUUGAAACUCAAAGGAAUUGACGGGGGCCCGCACAAGCGGCGGAGCAUGUGGUUUAAUUCGAAGCAACGCGAAGAACCUUACCAGGUCUUGACAUCCCUCUGACCGCUCUAGAGAUAGAGCUUUCCUUCGGGACAGAGGUGACAGGUGGUGCAUGGUUGUCGUCAGCUCGUGUCGUGAGAUGUUGGGUUAAGUCCCGCAACGAGCGCAACCCCUAUUGUUAGUUGCCAUCAUUUAGUUGGGCACUCUAGCGAGACUGCCGGUAAUAAACCGGAGGAAGGUGGGGAUGACGUCAAAUCAUCAUGCCCCUUAUGACCUGGGCUACACACGUGCUACAAUGGCUGGUACAACGAGUCGCAAGCCGGUGACGGCAAGCUAAUCUCUUAAAGCCAGUCUCAGUUCGGAUUGUAGGCUGCAACUCGCCUACAUGAAGUCGGAAUCGCUAGUAAUCGCGGAUCAGCACGCCGCGGUGAAUACGUUCCCGGGCCUUGUACACACCGCCCGUCACACCACGAGAGUUUGUAACACCCGAAGUCGGUGAGGUAACCGUAAGGAGCCAGCCGCCUAAGGUGGGAUAGAUGAUUGGGGUGAAGUCGUAACAAGGUAGCCGUAUCGGAAGGUGCGGCUGGAUCACCU